GACGAACGCCGGCGGCGUGCUUAACACAUGCAAGUCGAACGGAAAGGCCCUGCUUUUGUGGGGUGCUCGAGUGGCGAACGGGUGAGUAACACGUGAGUAACCUGCCCUUGACUUUGGGAUAACUUCAGGAAACUGGGGCUAAUACCGGAUAGGAGCUCCUGCUGCAUGGUGGGGGUUGGAAAGUUUCGGCGGUUGGGGAUGGACUCGCGGCUUAUCAGCUUGUUGGUGGGGUAGUGGCUUACCAAGGCUUUGACGGGUAGCCGGCCUGAGAGGGUGACCGGCCACAUUGGGACUGAGAUACGGCCCAGACUCCUACGGGAGGCAGCAGUGGGGAAUAUUGCACAAUGGGCGGAAGCCUGAUGCAGCAACGCCGCGUGCGGGAUGACGGCCUUCGGGUUGUAACCCGCUUUCGCCUGUGACGAAGCGUGAGUGACGGUAAUGGGUAAAGAAGCACCGGCUAACUACGUG
RNAcentral lists this ribosomal RNA (468 nucleotides) under uncultured bacterium. RNAcentral describes it as "partial 16S ribosomal RNA". It matches the Rfam family "Bacterial small subunit ribosomal RNA", at positions 28 to 507 of the family's 1533-position model. The record is from RNAcentral.